RNAcentral lists this ribosomal RNA (672 nucleotides) under Triticum aestivum (bread wheat). RNAcentral's name for it is "partial small subunit ribosomal RNA". The record is from RNAcentral. Lineage: Eukaryota; Viridiplantae; Streptophyta; Magnoliopsida; Poales; Poaceae.
AUGGUGGGACCAUUCAAGACGGCCCGAGGCGGCCUAACUCAUCUGCUUGUCGCGGUGGACAAGUUCACCAAGUGGAUAGAAGCAAAGCCCAUCAAGAAGUUGAACGGUCCGACUGCAGUGACUUUCAUCGCCGACAUCACGGUGCAGUACGGCAUACCGCACAGCAUCAUCACCGACAACGGCACAAAUUUCGCCAAAGGCGCCUUGGCCUGUUUCUGCGCGACACAGGGCAUCCGACUGGACUUAGCGUCCGUUGCCCAUCCGCAGUCAAACGGCCAGGUGGAGCGAGCAAACGGCCUCAUCCUGUCCGGCAUCAAGCCUCGACUGGUCGAACCACUCGAGCGUUCGGCCGGCUGUUGGCUUGAGGAGCUGCCAGCCGUCCUCUGGAGUCUGCGUACGACUCCAAACAAGUCAACUGGCUUCACGCCUUUCUUCCUCGUCUACGGUGCCGAAGCUGUCAUCCCGACGGACAUAGAGUUCGACUCUCCACGAGUCACCAUGUACACCGAAGAGGAAGCUGAAGAAGCACGUCAAGACGGUGUCGACCUGCUGGAAGAGGGUCAGCUGUUGGCACUCAGCCGGUUCGGCAUCUACCAGCAGAGUCUGCGCCGAUACUACAACCGAAAGGUCAGGCCGAGAUCGUUCAAGAGGGCGACCUUGUGCUCCGGCUGA